AAACCAUGGAUGCAAAUAAAUUAUCUGCCCUGGUUACCAUUUUGGUUCUCAGUCUGCAUCCCUGUGAUGGGAGCGCAACAAUUUGGUGAUAACCAGAAAUUCACUUCCAUACUUUGAAGCAACACGGUUAUGCUUUCAUUACGGUGCUUUCUUUGGGGUGUCUUGCCUGAUCGGAGUAAUAAAGCCUUUUUCUUUUUUUUUUUUUUCUUUUGCAGAUCUUUGUCUGUCGUCGUCGGAUUUGUUAAAAACAUCGAGACGUUGAAGUUCUGCCAAGAUCACUCGGAGCUCCUAUUUAGCAUCAGUGUGUCUGUUUUCAAUAAAAGGUGGCUGUAGUGACCAUCUGCAAGCCAGCUCCAGGCCGUCUUCCAUCGUGGUUCAGUGUGGUGCCUCACAUGGUGAGACAGGAGGUGUGGCAGCCCAAGAUGUCCCCGCCUGCUGAGGAGGAGUCCUCUGCUGAGGAGGAGUCCUCUGCUGAGGAGCUCCCAUCUCCACCCACCAGCAUCUGAGCUGCUGUGUGAGACCGCAGUCUGACUUCGCUGCUCGGGUGGACAACGCUCUGGUCUGCUGUCAGGCGGAUUCUGCUGAAACCUGCCGUGACGCGUGUUGUGCGAGCUGUACUGGUCCGACUUAAUGAGGUUUGGUGAGGACAUUGUUACUUAUACUGUAUAUUUGUUCAUUAUGCUGUAUGUUAGUUUCCUUUUCUGCGUUUAUCUCCUCUAUCAUUAAACUUUUACUUGUUUUGUAGAAGCUGCUUUACGGUUAUAGUGAAGUUUGUUGUUGCACAGAAACAGAGUUUGAAAUAAACGGUACAACGUC
Molecule: long non-coding RNA, 816 nt
Organism: Fundulus heteroclitus (mummichog)
Lineage: Eukaryota; Metazoa; Chordata; Actinopteri; Cyprinodontiformes; Fundulidae
Exons: 2
Source: RefSeq, a predicted model, not a curated record